RNAcentral lists this ribosomal RNA (253 nucleotides) under uncultured bacterium. RNAcentral's name for it is "partial 16S ribosomal RNA". It matches the Rfam family "Bacterial small subunit ribosomal RNA", at positions 524 to 776 of the family's 1533-position model. The record is from RNAcentral.
UACGGAGGGUGCAAGCGUUAUCCGGAUUCACUGGGUUUAAAGGGUGCGUAGGCGGGCAGGUAAGUCAGUGGUGAAAUCCUAGAGCUUAACUCUAGAACUGCCAUUGAUACUAUCUGUCUUGAAUAUUGUGGAGGUAAGCGGAAUAUGUCAUGUAGCGGUGAAAUGCUUAGAUAUGACAUAGAACACCAAUUGCGAAGGCAGCUCGUUACACGAAGAUUGACUCUGAGGCACGAAAGCGUGGGGAUCAAACAGG